Molecule: ribosomal RNA, 476 nt
Filed under: uncultured bacterium
Lineage: Bacteria
Description: bacterial SSU rRNA
Rfam family: Bacterial small subunit ribosomal RNA
Source: RNAcentral
AUUUUCGCUGGACCCUCACGCGCUAACACAUGACAAGAUUCGCAACGAAGUANGCAAUACUUAGUUGGCAGACGGGUGAGUAACAUGUAGGUAUCUACCCUUUGGCCAGUGAAUAACACGUAGGCAAACUUGUGCUAAUACCUGAUAAGUCUUUACGGAGAAAGCUUUAUGCACCAUUGGAUGAGCCUGCACUUGAUUAGUUAGUUGGUAGGGUAAUGGCCUACCAAGACUUUGAUCAAUAGCUGNUUUNAGAGGAUGAUCAGCCACAUUGGGACUGAGACACGGCCCAAACUCCUACNGGAGGCAGCAGUGGGGAAUCUUGCACAAUGGAGGAAACUCUGAUGCAGCGAUGCCGCGUGAGUGAAGAAGGCCCUUGGGUUGNAAGCUCUUUCNUCGGGGAAGAAAAUGACUGUNCCCGAAUAAGAAGGUCCGGCUAACUUCGUGCCAGCAGCCGCGGNAAUACGAAGGNACCUAGC